AUUGAACGCUGGCGGCAUGCCUUACACAUGCAAGUCGAACGGCAGCACGGGUGCUUGCACCUGGUGGCGAGUGGCGAACGGGUGAGUAAUACAUCGGAACAUGUCCUGUAGUGGGGGAUAGCCCGGCGAAAGCCGGAUUAAUACCGCAUACGAUCUACGGAUGAAAGCGGGGGCCCUUCGGGCCUCGCGCUAUAGGGUUGGCCGAUGGCUGAUUAGCUAGUUGGUGGGGUAAAGGCCUACCAAGGCGACGAUCAGUAGCUGGUCUGAGAGGACGACCAGCCACACUGGGACUGAGACACGGCCCAGACUCCUACGGGAGGCAGCAGUGGGGAAUUUUGGACAAGGGGCGAAAGCCUGAUCCAGCAAUGCCGCGUGUGUGAAGAAGGCCUUAGGGUUGUAAAGCACUUUUGUCCGGAAAGAAAUCCUUGGCCCUAAUACGGUCGGGGGAUGACGGUACCGGAAGAAUAAGCACCGGCUAACUACGUG
Molecule: ribosomal RNA, 486 nt
Filed under: uncultured bacterium
Lineage: Bacteria
Description: partial 16S ribosomal RNA
Rfam family: Bacterial small subunit ribosomal RNA
Source: RNAcentral